CCUACGGGCGGCAGCAGUGGGGAAUAUUGCGCAAUGGGCGAAAGCCUGACGCAGCGACGCCGCGUGAGGGAUGAAGGUCUUCGGAUCGUAAACCUCUGUCAGCAGGGAAGAACGGUCACUGUGCUAAUCAGCAGUGAAUUGACGGUACCUGCAAAGGAAGCACCGGCUAACUCCGUGCCAGCAGCCGCGGUAAUACGGAGGGUGCGAGCGUUAAUCGGAAUUACUGGGCGUAAAGCGCUCGUAGGCGGUAUGUCAAGUCAAGGGUGAAAUCCCCGGGCUCAACGUGGGAACUGCCUUUGAAACUGGCAAACUGGAGGGUGUGAAGGGAUGGUGAGAAUCCAAGGGGAGGAGUGAAA
RNAcentral lists this ribosomal RNA (356 nucleotides) under uncultured bacterium. RNAcentral's name for it is "partial 16S ribosomal RNA". It matches the Rfam family "Bacterial small subunit ribosomal RNA", at positions 338 to 686 of the family's 1533-position model. The record is from RNAcentral.